CUGGCUGGCUGACUGACUGACUGGCUGACUGACUGACUGACUGGCUGGCUGACUGACUGACUGGCUGGCUGACUGGCUGGCUGACUGACUGGCUGGCUGACCGACUGACUGACUGACUGACUGGCUGACUGACUGGCUGGCUGACUGGCUGGCUGACUGAUUGACCGACUGACUGGCUGACUGCCUGACUAAGUGAUGAUUGGCUGACUGACUAGCUGACUGACUGACAGACUAAGUGAUGAUUGGCUGGCUGACUGACUGACUAAGUGAUGACUGACUGACUGACUGACUGACUGAUGAUUGGCUGGCUGACUGACUGACUAAGUGAUGACUGACUGACUGACUGAUGGUUGGCUGACUGACUGACUGAUGAUUGGCUGACUGACUGACUGACUGACUGACUGACUGACUAUGUUUUUUAUUUUAUUUAUUUUACCUUUAUUUUACUAGGCAAGUCAGUUAAGAACAAAUUCUUAUUUUCAAUGACGGCCUAGGAACAGUGGGUUAACUGCCUGUUCAGGGGCAGAACAACAGAUUUUUGUGAGGUAAUGGCUGUAUUAAUUACAGGUAGUGUGGUACCAUGAGGUAAUGGCUGUAUUAAUUACAGGUAGUGUGGUACCAUGAGGUAAUGGCUGUAUUAAUUACAGGUAGUGUGGUACCAUGAGGUAAUGGCUGUAUUAAUUACAGGUAGUGUGGUACCAUGAGGUAAUGGCUGUAUUAAUUACAGGUAGUGUGGUACCAUGAGGUAAUGGCUGUAUUAAUUACAGGUAGUGUGGUACCGUGAGGUAAUGGCUGUAUUAAUUACAGGUAGUGUGGUACCAUGAGGUAAUGGCUGUAUUAAUUACAGGUAGUGUGGUACCAUGAGGUAAUGGCUGUAUUAAUGGCUGUAUUAAUUACAGGUAGUGUGGUACCGUGAGGUAAUGGCUGUAUUAAUUACAGGUAGUGUGGUACCGUGAGGUAAUGGCUGUAUUAAUUACAGGUAGUGUGGCACCAUGAGGUAAUGGCUGUAUUAAUGGCUGUAUUAAUUACAGGUAGUGUGGUACCGUGAGGUAAUGGCUGUAUUAAUUACAGGUAGUGUGGUACCGUGAGGUAAUGGCUGUAUUAAUUACAGGUAGUGUGGUACCGUGAGGUAAUGGCUGUAUUAAUUACAGGUAGUGUGGUACCGUGAGGUAAUGGCUGUAUUAAUUACAGGUAGUGUGGUACCGUGAGGUAAUGGCUGUAUUAAUUACAGGUAGUGUGGUACCAUGAGGUAAUGGCUGUAUUAAUUACAGGUAGUGUGGUACCAUGAGGUAAUGGCUGUAUUAAUGGCUGUAUUAAUUACAGGUAGUGUGGUACCAUGAGGUAAUGGCUGUAUUAAUGGCUGUAUUAAUUACAGGUAGUGUG
Long non-coding RNA from Oncorhynchus keta (chum salmon), 1383 nucleotides. RefSeq lists it as uncharacterized. NCBI's taxonomy places the organism in Eukaryota, Metazoa, Chordata, Actinopteri, Salmoniformes, Salmonidae. The record is from RefSeq and is a predicted model, not a curated record. The transcript is spliced from 3 exons.